Molecule: unclassified non-coding RNA, 344 nt
Filed under: Hevea brasiliensis (rubber tree)
Lineage: Eukaryota; Viridiplantae; Streptophyta; Magnoliopsida; Malpighiales; Euphorbiaceae
Source: RNAcentral
GGAAAUGUGUCUCAGGGUGCACAAGAGAUUUUUAAGCUCUUACCUCAUACUUAUGUUGAUCCCUCAAAACUUCCCGAACUUGCGGUUGGCGAUAGAGCUCAUUUGAAGUUAACAAGCAGAGUUUUCCAUGUAUAUGGCUGUGUCGUGACAUGUGAAAACAUGGUUACCCCAAAGGAUUUAACUAAAGUUUUUGAUAAAGCCGACUAUUAUGCCCACCCACAACACUAUUACCCUGUAUUUCAUGAAAGAAUUGCUCCUUACGCAUCUGUCAUUGUUAAUUGCAUGUACUGGGAGAAACGGUUUCCGAGGUUGUUGAGCACCAAACAGUUGCAAGAACUGAUGAG